CUACAUAUCAAUAAGCGGAGGAAAAGAAACCAACAGGGAUUGCCCUAGUAACGGCGAGUGAAGCGGCAACAGCUCAAAUUUGAAAUCUGGCUCUUUUAGGGUCCGAGUUGUAAUUUGCAGAGAGCGCUUUGGCGUUGGCAGCGGUCCAAGUUCUUUGGAACAGGACGUCACAGAGGGUGAGAAUCCCGUACGUGGUCGCUAGCCUUCGCCGUGUAAAGCCUCUUCGACGAGUCGAGUUGUUUGGGAAUGCAGCUCUAAAUGGGAGGUAAAUUUCUUCUAAAGCUAAAUACUGGCCAGAGACCGAUAGCGCACAAGUAGAGUGAUCGAAAGAUGAAAAGCACUUUGGAAAGAGAGUCAAAUAGCACGUGAAAUUGUUGAAAGGGAAGCGCUUGCAGCCAGACUUGCCUGUAGUUGCUUAUCCGGACUUUUGUCCGGUGCACUCUUCUGCGGGCAGGCCAGCAUCAGUUUAGGCGGUUGGAUAAAGGUCUCUAUCACGUACCUCCCUUCGGGGUUGGCCUUAUAGGGGAGACGACAUGCAGCCAGCCUGAACUGAGGUCCGCGCAUCUGCUAGGAUGCUGGCGUAAUGGCUGUAAGCGGCCCGUCUUGAAACACGGACCAAGGAGUCUAACAUCUAUGCGAGUGUUUGGGUGUCAAGCCCAGACGCGUAAUGAAAGUGAACGGAGGUGGGAACCUUUUAGGUGCACCAUCGACCGAUCCUGAUGUCUUCGGAUGGAUUUGAGUAAGAGCAUGGCUGUUGGGACCCGAAAGAUGGUGAACUAUGCUUGAAUAGGGUGAAGCCAGAGGAAACUCUGGUGGAGGCUCGCAGCGGUUCUGACGUGCAAAUCGAUCGUCAAAUUUGGGCAUAGGGGGCGAAAGACUAAUCGAACUAUCUAGUAGCUGGUUCCUGCCGAGU
RNAcentral lists this ribosomal RNA (913 nucleotides) under Poaceicola garethjonesii. RNAcentral describes it as "partial 28S ribosomal RNA". It matches the Rfam family "Eukaryotic large subunit ribosomal RNA", at positions 34 to 966 of the family's 3401-position model. The record is from RNAcentral. Lineage: Eukaryota; Fungi; Ascomycota; Dothideomycetes; Pleosporales; Phaeosphaeriaceae.